AACGAACGCUGGCGGCAGGCCUAACACAUGCAAGUCGAACGCCGUAGCAAUACGGAGUGGCAGACGGGUGAGUAACGCGUGGGAACAUACCCCUCGGUUCGGAAUAACUCAGGGAAACUUGAGCUAAUACCGGAUACGUCCGAGGUUUUAAUCGACCUUGGAGAAAGAUUUAUCGCCGGAGGAUUGGCCCGCGUCUGAUUAGCUUGUUGGUGAGGUAAUGGCUCACCAAGGCGACGANCAGUAGCUGGUCUGAGAGGAUGAUCAGCCACAUUGGGACUGAGACACGGCCCAAACUCCUACGGGAGGCAGCAGUGGGGAAUAUUGGACAAUGGGCGAAAGCCUGAUCCAGCCAUGCCGCGUGAGUGAUGAAGGCCUUAGGGUUGUAAACCUCUUUCAGGUGGGACGAAGCCACUCGGGUGAAUAGCCCAGAGGGUGACGGUACCGCCAGAAGAA
RNAcentral lists this ribosomal RNA (453 nucleotides) under uncultured bacterium. RNAcentral's name for it is "bacterial SSU rRNA". It matches the Rfam family "Bacterial small subunit ribosomal RNA", at positions 29 to 489 of the family's 1533-position model. The record is from RNAcentral.